CGUUGCAUCUUUAGACGCG
This 19-nucleotide unclassified non-coding RNA is filed under the name Mus musculus (house mouse). RNAcentral's name for it is "oocyte_clustered_small_RNA10988". The record is from RNAcentral. Lineage: Eukaryota; Metazoa; Chordata; Mammalia; Rodentia; Muridae.